GUCUAUGGGCGGAGCUUGUGGGGCAUCUUCGGAUGCGCCGAUAGUACCGCACAAUCGGUUCGCCAACCCGCAAGCUCUUGCCCGCCCUG
RNAcentral lists this non-coding RNA (89 nucleotides) under Oxalobacter paraformigenes. Lineage: Bacteria; Pseudomonadati; Pseudomonadota; Betaproteobacteria; Burkholderiales; Oxalobacteraceae. The record is from RNAcentral.